This 216-nucleotide ribosomal RNA is filed under the name uncultured bacterium. RNAcentral's name for it is "partial 16S ribosomal RNA". It matches the Rfam family "Bacterial small subunit ribosomal RNA", at positions 144 to 353 of the family's 1533-position model. The record is from RNAcentral.
UAACUUCUGGAAACGGAUGCUAAAACCGGAUAGGUAGCAGACAAGCAUUUGACUGCUAUUAAAGUGGCUAAGGCCAUGAACAUGGAUGGACCUGCGGUGCAUUAGCUAGUUGGUGAGGUAACGGCCCACCAAGGCAACGAUCGGUAGCCGGACUGAGAGGUUGAACGGCCACAUUGGGACUGAGACACGGCCCAGACUCCUACGGGAGGCAGCAUG